UAAACAGUAUAGUGGUGGAUCUGUAGGGUCUGGAUAGGUAUAAACAGUAUAGUGGUGGGGUCUGGAUAGGUAUAAACAGUAUAGUGGUGGGGUCUGGAUAGGUAUAAACAGUAUAGUAGUGGAUCUGUAGGGUCUGGAUAGGUAUAAACAGUAUAGUGGUGUAUCUGUAGGGUCUGGAUAGGUAUAAACAGUAUAGUAGUGGAUCUGUAGGGUCUGGAUAGGUAUAAACAGUAUAGUGGUGGGGUCUGGAUAGGUAUAAACAGUAUAGUAGUGGGGUCUGGAUAGGUAUAAACAGUAUAGUGGUGUAUCUGUAGGGUCUGGAUAGGUAUAAACAGUAUAGUAGUGGGGUCUGGAUAGGUAUAAACAGUAUAGUGGUGGAUCUGUAGGGUCUGGAUAGGUAUAAACAGUAUAGUGGUGGGGUCUGGAUAGGUAUAAACAGUAUAGUAGUGGGGUCUGGAUAGGUAUAAACAGUAUAGUAGUGGAUCUGUAGGGUCUGGAUAGGUAUAAACAGUAUAGUAGUGGGGUCUGGAUAGGUAUAAACAGUAUAGUGGUGGAUCUGUAGGGUCUGGAUAGGUAUAAACAGUAUAGUAGUGGAUCUGUAGGGUCUGGAUAGGUAUAAACAGUAUAGUAGUGGAUCUGUAGGGUCUGGAUAGGUAUAAACAGUAUAGUGGUGUAUCUGUAGGGUCUGGAUAGGUAUAAACAGUAUAGUGGUGUAUCUGUAGGGUCUGGAUAGGUAUAAACAGUAUAGUAGUGGAUCUGUAGGGUCUGGAUAGGUAUAAACAGUAUAGUGGUGGAUCUGUAGGGUCUGGAUAGGUAUUAACAGUAUAGUAGUGGAUCUGUAGGGUCUGGAUAGGUAUAAACAGUAUAGUGGUGGAUCUGUCGGGUCUGGAUAGG
This is a long non-coding RNA of Oncorhynchus tshawytscha (Chinook salmon), 894 nucleotides long. The record is from Ensembl. NCBI's taxonomy places the organism in Eukaryota, Metazoa, Chordata, Actinopteri, Salmoniformes, Salmonidae.